CAGGAAGAAGACCAUGUGAAGCCUGCAACGACUGAAACGAAUGGCAUGUUCUCUUUCAUGUUUCUGUCUUUCACUUUGCAUCCUGUGCCAAAGUGGGCAGGGAGAAAGAGCUCGUGGUGAGGUGGGUGAAACGGAGGCCGCUGUACGUGCUCUUUCUUCAGCCACAACCCCGUGGAAGAGCAUGUUUGGUGGUAGCACGUUUCUAGGUCUCUCUCCCCGAGAUAGGCGUAGUAUGUGCAUAAGUCUACUCUUCUCGCCGCCAUGACCCUGCCUUGUGUUCUUUGAUGUUGAAGCCUCUAGUCUGCAGGUAUUCCAUUUUUUUCUCGCUUACGUACUUUGGAAUAUCUUUGGUUACUUUUUAAGAAAUUCUCUUAAAGCAUCAUUGUCGAUUCUUUUACCCAGCAGCUCUGGCUCUCUUGUUCACUGUUGUCUUCCUCUUGUAAACGUGUCUGCUUCACCCCUGAGUCCAUGCCUCGGAUUCCGCCAUUUCUACUACACUAAACAAUUUUCGGACAAAUCAGUUGUUUAUUUACAUUUGAUAAAUGUUUUUAGGCUCGAAGCUAUUAUUUUAAAAAAGGGGGGGGGAGUAUUGUUGUUAUUAUUUAAAAAAAAAAAGAAGUUCUUUUCACAAUUAGGUACGCGAUCCUUCAGAAAGCAUGUAUGUUCUUUUAGUUUUUGUUCAUUUUGUGCAUUUGAUUGUAGGGUUUGAGUUUGUUUAAGGAUUUGAAUGCAUUUGAACAUCCAAAUAGAGUUUAGGUGCUGCCUUAAUGUUUUUAAAGGGAAAUUAACAGUGAUGUAUUUGGAUAUGAUGCUUAUGUUUCAUGAAUGCCCUAUAAAUUCCCAUUAUGUAAAAGUUCUGUACAAAGAUCUUACGGUCAGUUUUGUAUUUUAUAUUUCUAUAAAAAGAAGGUGAAGUUAGGACUCAGCUGGUAGAAAUAGUACAUUUAAGAAAGCAUAAAUUUAGUUCAUCUUGCAUAUACGAGAGCAUUCAGUCACUUGUUUGGCAUUGGUAGAUAUGAUCAAAGGACUUCUUUUUCUAUUCAGCAGGUAUUCUUUUUAAAAUGUAGGCUUGUGCUGUUUGUAUUUGACUGCCCCCCCACCCCCCAAUUGCAAAUUACAUGAGAGAAAAAAGAGUGGGGCUAGCUUGGGAAAGAAAAUAAUUAAAUAAAAUAAUUCACUAUAUUACAUUUGUCACACAGGAGUAACUGAACAAAAUACAGAUCAAAUAUUACAGACAGAACACAAUUUUGUGCCUUUUUGUCAAAUUCACAGUAAAUUCCUUUAAAACGGGGCGAACAAUCAACGAGAUCUGGUUUCCUUGGAAAAGAGGUGGUGACAUCUUUUUUGUUACAAGGCUACUAUAACUUGGACGAAAUGGCAGCAAAUGACCACUGAAAUUGAAAAUGCAUUGAUGAAUUUGAUUUGAUUUAAAUCUAAUUUACGUCCUUAAAAAAUUACAAAGAAAAGCUCUCAAGAUGGCGUCGACAUGCCACGUGUUUGUGUAUUACUGUACUAAGUUUAUUUUACUUGAAGGGAUUUUUAAUGCAGUUUUUUUUUUUUUAAGUACCUUUUUUAUAAACAAAUCCUUAUUUAACAGCAGAUCGGCUCUUCACAAGCAAACAAAAGCGGAAAAGCUGAAAACGGUGCUGUUAAAUUGAAAUAACACAUGAUGUGCUGAUGUUUGUUGAUUUGGCUGUAGCGCAAGGAUUUUUCUUGGAUUAUGUUCUUUUUUGUGCUUUAUAAAUUGUCAGCAUAAGCAAGGAGGGCAGGCAAUUUACUGCUUUGUAAGGUAUAACCGAAAGACUCACCAAAGAGGCACAAAAGUUUGUGUAUACAUGUUUAUUUUGUUCAGAGACAGAGAGAGAUGGCAACAGGAAAAAAGUGGAGCGAGGGAGGGAGGAAAGGAGAGCAUUUCCUCCACCCCCUGUUCUCCUCAGAUGAACUUAUCAUGUAGCAUCAUAUUUUCUCUCUCUCCCUCCCUUUUUUUCCCCCUUUCCCAUACAGCCCCGCUCCCUCCUACAUUUACUGUAGCUGACAAUCAGAUGCACUCUGGGCUCCGACCCCACAUUAGCAAACAGGAAGUUUCAAAACAAACAGAGUUUAACCCUAAAAAUACUUAGAUUUCACUGCAUACACAAUCAAAUCUACAACCUCAUGCUAAAAUAGACAGAAUCCAACACCAGUUUUGUAAUCCCAGAGUAUUUUGACUUCAAACUGAAAGUUUUAUUUGGAUGAAGUGUUUAUACCGAAAGCAGAAAAUUCACUGCAGGUGAGAAAACACUGCUGUUUGCCCUGCAAACGCGCAGACACGCAACAUAUUCUCGCAGCCUAUUAGUCACAUGGCCCCAGAUGGGGGCAGAGAUCUAACUCUAAUCUGCAAGUUCUUUGUAUAAAUAAGGCAAGGCAGAAUCCUUAUCGUCGAGUUUCGAUGAGUAACAGCAGGCUCUCCGGAGACCGCGUGACAGAGUCGACCAAGGUCAAGCCAAGCCCAACUUCCUGUUUUUUGGGGACUGCUAUUUUUGCUUUAAGGGCGUUUCUCUCUGGUGUAGGUUGAUGACAGGAGAUCAUAUGCAGAAUGAUUAAUGACAUUUUUGAAGAGUUAUAGCUUUCUAUGGCUUAACUAUUUUAAGCAGUGGCAAAGCUGUGUGGAAGGAAAAAACUGAGGAAUAAUGUCACAGGUACAGUAAAUGGAACAGGAAGAAAAGUUUAGCUAAAUGUUGUUUGGGGAAAUAUUAUGCUAUAUAUUGUGUACAAUGAUUCAUACCAAAAAAAUAUGGCAUGUUUCACGUUAAGAAUCUUGUGCAACAGUUGUACUAAAAGCUAAUUUGCGAGUAAUAUGUUGCGAGUAACUCACCACUGGUGGGAAUGCUGAUCUACUGCUGUUCAAACAAAAGAUUACAGAUGCUAGUAAAAAUUUAAAUUAUCUAUUGUUUGUUCAUACCGUAUCACAUAGUUUCCUUAUUCAUGAGACAUGUUUC
Long non-coding RNA from Cyprinus carpio carpio, 2978 nucleotides. The record is from Ensembl. Lineage: Eukaryota; Metazoa; Chordata; Actinopteri; Cypriniformes; Cyprinidae.